This 1209-nucleotide ribosomal RNA is filed under the name uncultured bacterium. RNAcentral describes it as "bacterial SSU rRNA". It matches the Rfam family "Bacterial small subunit ribosomal RNA", at positions 230 to 1455 of the family's 1533-position model. The record is from RNAcentral.
CCCGCGUUAGAUUAGCUAGUUGGUGAGGUAAUGGCUCACCAAGGCGACGAUCUAUAGCCGACCUGAGAGGGUGAUCGGCCACACUGGAACUGAGACACGGUCCAGACUCCUACGGGAGGCAGCAGUGGGGAAUAUUGCACAAUGGGGGAAACCCUGAUGCAGCAACGCCGCGUGAGUGAUGAAGGCUUUCGAGUCGUAAAACUCUUUUCUUGAGGAAGAAUAUUGACGGUACUCAAGGAAUAAGCCCCGGCUAAUUACGUGCCAGCAGCCGCGGUAAUACGUAAGGGGCAAGCGUUAUCCGGAAUUACUGGGCGUAAAGCGUACGUAGGCGGCGUGUUAAGCAAGAUGUGAAAGCCCCGGGCUCAACCUGGGAAUUGCAUUUUGAACUGGCAUGCUAGAGUCCUGAAGAGGGUGGUAGAAUUUCCAGUGUAGCGGUGAAAUGCGUAGAUAUUGGAAGGAAUACCGGUGGCGAAGGCGGCCACCUGGUCAGAGACUGACGCUGAGGUACGAAAGCGUGGGGAGCAAACAGGAUUAGAUACCCUGGUAGUCCACGCCGUAAACGAUGUCAACUAGUUGUUCGUGUCAUUAAGACGUGAGUAACGCAGCUAACGCACUAAGUUGACCGCCUGGGGAGUACGGCCGCAAGGUUAAAACUCAAAUGAAUUGACGGGGGCCCGCACAAGCGGUGGAGCAUGUGGUUUAAUUCGAUGCAACGCGAAGAACCUUACCAUCCCUUGACAUCCAGUGAAUUUUCCAGAGAUGGAUUAGUGCCUUCGGGAACACUGAGACAGGUGCUGCAUGGCUGUCGUCAGCUCGUGUUGUGAGAUGUUGGGUUAAGUCCCGCAACGAGCGCAACCCUUAUCCUUAGUUGCCAGCGCAUAAUGGCGGGAACUCUGGGGAGACUGCCGGUGAUAAACCGGAGGAAGGUGGGGACGACGUCAAGUCAUCAUGGCCCUUACGGGAUGGGCUACACACGUGCUACAAUGGCGCACACAAAGGGCAGCAAGCCAGCGAUGGUAAGCGAAUCUCAUAAAGUGCGUCGUAGUCCGGAUUGGAGUCUGCAACUCGACUCCAUGAAGUCGGAAUCGCUAGUAAUCGUGGAUCAGAAUGCCACGGUGAAUACGUUCCCGGGCCUUGUACACACCGCCCGUCACACCAUGGGAGUGGGCUGCACCAGAAGUGGUUAGUUUAACCUUCGGGAGAACGAUC